RNAcentral lists this long non-coding RNA (221 nucleotides) under Carica papaya (papaya). Its description in RNAcentral is "long non-coding RNA (CPAP_LNC012424)". Lineage: Eukaryota; Viridiplantae; Streptophyta; Magnoliopsida; Brassicales; Caricaceae. The record is from RNAcentral.
UAUUAGGUUUAGAUGGAGCGAAAGCUUUGAUACCAAAUGAUGCAAAACCCAAGAUCAACCAGCGUGAUUAUAAUUUCACAUAAUUUUAUUUGAAGGCAUCAAAGGAAUUGAUCCUAUAGAAAUCAUCUCCCUACUUAACUCGCUAUCAAGAAUGAUAGAAACUAAGGUCAUUGGAAAUAAAAGAAAUAAAAUAAAAAAAUGCUACAAGGUUGAUUGUUGAU